UGGGACCCGUCUUGAAANNNCGNNNCAAGGAGUCUAGCAUGUGCGCGAGUCAUUGGGACUAGCGAAACCUAAAGGCGUAAUGAAAGUGAAGGUCGGCCUCGCGCCGACCGAGGGAGGAUKGNCCGCGUCACGACGCGGCCCCGCACUCCCGGGGCGUCUCGUUCUCAUCGCGAGAAGAGGCGCACCCAGAGCGUACACGCUGGGACCCGAAAGAUGGUGAACUAUGCCUGGUCAGGACGAAGUCAGGGGAAACCCUGAUGGAGGUCCGAAGCGAUUCUGACGUGCAAAUCGAUCGUCGGAACUGGGUAUAGGGGCGAAAGACUAAUCGAACCAUCUAGUAGCUGGUUCCCUCCGAAGUUUCCCUCAGGAUAGCUGGCGCUCGCUUUUGCGAGUCUCAUCUGGUAAAGCGAAUGAUUAGAGGCAUUGGGGUCGAAACGGCCUCAACCUAUUCUCAAACUUUAAAUGGGUGAGAUCUCCGGCUUGCUUGAAUAGUGAAGCCGCGAGAUCGGAUCAGAGUGCCAAGUGGGCCAUUUUUGGUAAGCAGAACUGGCGCUGUGGGAUGAACCAAACGCAGAGUUAAAGCUCCUAAAUCUACGCUUAUGGGAUACCAUGAAAGGCGUUGGUAACUUAAGACAGUAGGACGGUGGCCAUNGGAAANUCGGAAUCCGCUAAAGGAGUGUGNNAAAA
RNAcentral lists this ribosomal RNA (687 nucleotides) under Thonalmus bicolor. RNAcentral describes it as "partial large subunit ribosomal RNA". The record is from RNAcentral. Lineage: Eukaryota; Metazoa; Arthropoda; Insecta; Coleoptera; Lycidae.